GUAGGGAUCAUUUAUGGUAAAAAAGGUGAAAACCUUUUUACUAAUCUCUAACUCUGUGCAAUGGAGCACACGGCUCGUGCAUCGAUGAAGCCCGCGGCAAAAAGCGAUAUGUAAUGAGAUUCGUUAGCCUCGAGAUUCAUCAAAUUGGUGAACACAGACUGGACCUCUUCGGAGGUACUUGCGUUAGAGUGCUAGUUUUAUAUCAGUUGAUCCUGGUAAAAGGUGUAUUUAUCAUAAGAUAGAUAUACCCUAGCUGGUGAUGCCGAAUUCUUUAAUGAAUUCGGAUUGUCCAAACUGAAUUAACCUUUAUUGGAAAAUUCAAUGGCAAUCUUUUACUUAACUAGCCUCUAAUGUGAGAGGGUACCCCCUGGAUUUAAGCAUAUUAAUAAGGGGAGGAAAAGAAAUCAACAGAGAUUCUCCUAGUACCUGCGAGGGAAAAGAGAAAAGCCCAUCCUGAAUCUAAGACUUGUCUUGGAGUUGUAGGGUGAGGAUGUUAUGCCUUGUGCUGAGAAUCGUGAAAUUACCUGCAAAGGUAUUCACAAGUGAAUCCAUAGAGGGUGUUAGGCCCGUUAGCGAUUCAUUCAGUGCUGUACGGUAUGAUAUCUACGAGUAGGAUUGUUUGAUAGUACAAUCUGAAUAUAGGGGAUAAACUUCCUCUAAGGCUAAAUAUAAUGCACGAGACCGUUAGUAAACAAGUACCGUGAGGGAACGUUGAAAAGUACUCUGGUAAGAGGGUGAAAAGAGUGUGAAAUUGCAUAGAUUUAAGCGUAACCAAGUAUCGAUUCUUGUAGUGUUCUCUCUGGUUCAUUACAGGUAUCCAACAACUCUGUUUUUGUUAAUUCAAGAAUUGGGCUACACAUGCUAAUAAUGCCGUUGUAAAUGAGUUGUAUAGAUAAAAAUUUUGUUGCUGCGUUCUUGUUUCACGACUUGGAUGUGGUACCGGAAUCUAGUUUAUAUGAUUUGUUGCAAAAGACCGGUCCUAUAGCAUAUUGUUGGUAUGGUAUUUGGGAACGUCCCGUCUUGAAACACGGACCAAGGAGUCUAGCAUAUCUGCAAGCCGUAGCAAUUUUAAUUGUGAAGGCGUAAUGAAAGUAUAUUGUGUUAACAGCACAAACCGGACCAUUUGGUUUGAGUUAGAGUAAAUAUGCUAGUACCCGAAAGGUGAUGAACUAUGCCCGGACUGGUUGAAGCCAGGAGAAAUCCUGGUGGAGGACCUCCCGCGGUGCUGACGUGCAAAUCGCUCGUCCGAGCUGGGUAUAGGAGCGAAAGACUCAUCGAAUCGCCUAGUAGCUGGUUCCUGC
This 1301-nucleotide unclassified non-coding RNA is filed under the name uncultured fungus. Its description in RNAcentral is "sequence contains 18S rRNA gene, ITS1, 5.8S rRNA gene, ITS2, 28S rRNA gene". The stretch from base 341 to 1301 matches the Rfam family "Eukaryotic large subunit ribosomal RNA", at positions 1 to 961 of the family's 3401-position model. Lineage: Eukaryota; Fungi. The record is from RNAcentral.